Molecule: ribosomal RNA, 301 nt
Filed under: uncultured bacterium
Lineage: Bacteria
Description: partial 16S ribosomal RNA
Rfam family: Bacterial small subunit ribosomal RNA
Source: RNAcentral
CAGUCGCCACGGUAAUACGAAGGGGGCUAGCGUUGCUCGGAAUGACUGGGCGUAAAGGGCGCGUAGGCGGUCACGAUAGUCAGAUGUGAAAUUCCUGGGCUUAACCUGGGGACUGCAUUUGAUACUGUGUGGCUUGAGUGUGGAAGAGGGUCGUGGAAUUCCCAGUGUAGAGGUGAAAUUCGUAGAUAUUGGGAAGAACACCGGUGGCGAAGGCGGCGACCUGGUCCAUAGCUGACGCUGAGGCGCGAAAGCGUGGGGAGCAAACAGGAUUAGAUACCCGCGUAGUCCCUGUCUCUUAUAC